GGGGAAUAUUGGACAAUGGGGGCAACCCUGAUCCAGCAAUGCCGCGUGUGUGAAGAAGGUCUUCGGAUUGUAAAGCACUUUCGACGGGGACGAUGAUGACGGUACCCGUAGAAGAAGCCCCGGCUAACUUCGUGCCAGCAGCCGCGGUAAUACGAAGGGGGCUAGCGUUGCUCGGAAUGACUGGGCGUAAAGGGCGUGUAGGCGGUUUACACAGUCAGAUGUGAAAUCCCCGGGCUUAACCUGGGAGCUGCAUUUGAUACGUGUAGACUAGAGUGUGAGAGAGGGUUGUGGAAUUCCCAGUGUAGAGGUGAAAUUCG
RNAcentral lists this ribosomal RNA (317 nucleotides) under uncultured bacterium. RNAcentral describes it as "partial 16S ribosomal RNA". It matches the Rfam family "Bacterial small subunit ribosomal RNA", at positions 356 to 690 of the family's 1533-position model. The record is from RNAcentral.